AGCAGCCGCGGUAAUUCCAGCUCCAAUAGCGUAUAUUAAAGUUGUUGCAGUUAAAAAGCUCGUAGUUGAAUUUCGGAAUCUGUCCAUCGGUCGGGCUUCACUGUCCGUACUGGUGUGGUGGGUUCUUACCUUCUGAAUAACCAGCAUGCCAUUCACUUGGUGCGUUGGGGAAGCAGGACUAUUACCUUGAAAAAUUAGAGUGCUCAAAGCAGGCUAGUGCCUGAAUACAUUAGCAUGGAAUAAUAAAAUAGGACGGCAUGGUUCUAUUUUGUUGGUUUCUAGGAUCACCGUAAUGAUUAAUAGGGAUAGUUGGGGGCAUUAGUAUUCAAUUGUCAGGGGUGAAAUUCUUGGAUUUAUUGAAGACUAACUUCUGCGAAAGCAUUUGCCAAGGAUGUUUUCAUUAAUCAAGAACGAAAGUUAGGGGAUCGAAGACGAUCAGAUACCGUCGUAGUCUUAACCAUAAACUAUGCCGACUAGGGAUCGGACGAUGUUAAUUUUUAAUGACUCGUUCGGCGUACCG
This 520-nucleotide ribosomal RNA is filed under the name uncultured Glomeromycotina. Its description in RNAcentral is "SSU rRNA". It matches the Rfam family "Eukaryotic small subunit ribosomal RNA", at positions 569 to 1088 of the family's 1831-position model. Lineage: Eukaryota; Fungi; Glomeromycota. The record is from RNAcentral.